CGGUAAUUCCAGCUCCAAUAGCGUAUACUAAAGUUGUUGCAGUUAAAAAGCUCGUAGUUGGAUUUCUGCGGGGACGGAGCGGCCGGACGCAACUUGCGUCUCGAGCUAGCGCUUUCCCCGCAUCCUGCCGCGAACCGUGCUACCAUUAGUUUGGUGGCGCUGGGGAUCGGCUCGAUUACUUUGAGAAAAAUAGAGUGUUCAAAGCAGGCCACACGCCUUGAAUAAGUUAGCAUGGAAUAAUGACUAAGGACUUCGGUUCUAUUUUGUUGGUGUUCGGGACUGAAGUAAUGAUUGAUAGGGACAGUUGGGGCGGUCUGUAUUCCAAAGCGAGAGGUGAAAUUCUUAGACCUUCGGAAGACAAACAGCUGCGAAAGCGUUCCGCAAGGAUGUUCCCUUUGAUCAAGAACGAAAGUUGGGGGAUCGAAGACGAUCAGAUGCCGUCGUAGUCUCAACUAUAAACUAUACCAGCUAGGGAUCGGCCAACGUUUAAUUAUUCGACUUGGUCGGCACCUUAUGAGAAAUCAAAGCAUCUGGGUUCCGGGGGGAGUAUGGUCGCAAGGCUGAAACUUAAAGGAAUUGACGGAAGGGCACCACCAGCCGUGGAGCCUGUGGCUUAAUUUGACUCAACACGGGAAAACUUACCAGGUCCAGACAUAGGAAGGAUUGACAGAUUGAUAGCUCUUUCUUGAUUCUGUGGGUGGUGGUGCAUGGCCGUUUUUAGUUGGUGGAGUGAUUUGUCUGCUUAAUUGCGUUAACGAACGAGACCCCAGCCUGCUAAAUAGCGCGGCCGAGCUUUGCUCGGUGCGAGCUUCUUAGAGGGACCAUGAUGCGCGAUAGCACAAGGAAGUUUGGGGCAACAACAGGUCUGUGAUGCCCUUAGAUGUUCUGGGCCGCACACGGGCUACACUGGCGCCUGCAACGAGCAUAUCAGCUGGCCCGAGAGGGUCUUGGCUAAUCUUUUGAACCGGCGCCGUGCUUGGGAUUGACCUUUGCAAUUGUUGGUCAUGCAACGAGGAAUGCCUUGUAAACGCGAGUCAUCAGCUCGCAUUGAAUACGUCCCUGCCCUUUGUACACACCGCCCGUCGCUCCUACCGAUGAAUGUUCCGAUGAAAUUUUCGGAGAGCGCCAGAGAACGGGGCUCUGCCUUGUAGAUCUGGAGGCUCAAAGUCACUUAAAUCUGAAUAUUUCGAGGAAGGAGAAGUCGUAACAAGGUAACC
This 1217-nucleotide ribosomal RNA is filed under the name uncultured Rhizaria. RNAcentral's name for it is "SSU rRNA". It matches the Rfam family "Eukaryotic small subunit ribosomal RNA", at positions 577 to 1804 of the family's 1831-position model. The record is from RNAcentral.